GACGAACGCUGGCGGCGUGCUUAACACAUGCAAGUCGAACGGAAAGGCCCUGCUUUUGUGGGGUGCUCGAGUGGCGAACGGGUGAGUAACACGUGAGUAACCUGCCCUUGACUUUGGGAUAACUUCAGGAAACUGGGGCUAAUACCGGAUAGGAGCUCCUGCUGCAUGGUGGGGGUUGGAAAGUUUCGGCGGUUGGGGAUGGACUCGCGGCUUAUCAGCUUGUUGGUGGGGUAGUGGCUUACCAAGGCUUUGACGGGUAGCCGGCCUGAGAGGGUGACCGGCCACCUUGGGACUGCGGUACGGCCCAGACUCCUACGGGAGGCAGCAGUGGGAAAUAUUGCACAAUGGGCGGAAGCCUGAUGCAGCAACGCCGCGUGCGGGAUGACGGCCUUCGGGUUGUAAACCGCUUUCGCCUGUGACGAAGCGUGAGUGACGGUAAUGGGUAAAGAAGCACCGGCUAACUACGUG
RNAcentral lists this ribosomal RNA (468 nucleotides) under uncultured bacterium. Its description in RNAcentral is "partial 16S ribosomal RNA". It matches the Rfam family "Bacterial small subunit ribosomal RNA", at positions 28 to 507 of the family's 1533-position model. The record is from RNAcentral.